GAUGAAGAACGUAGUGAAAUGCGAUAAGUAGUGUGAAUUGCAGAAUUCAGUGAAUCAUCGAAUCUUUGAACGCACAUUGCGCCCUUUGGUAUUCCAAAGGGCAUGCCUGUUCGAGCGUCAUUUGUACCCUCAAGCUUUGCUUGGUGUUGGGCGUCUUGUCUCUAGCUUUGCUGGAGACUCGCCUUAAAGUAAUUGGCAGCCGGCCUACUGUUUCGGAGCGCAGCACAAGUCGCACUCUCUAUCAGCAAAGGUCUAGCAUCCAUUAAGCCUUUUUUUCAACUUUUGACCUCGGAUCAGGUAGGGAUACCCGCUGAACUUAAGCAUAUCAAUAAGCGGAGGA
This 340-nucleotide unclassified non-coding RNA is filed under the name soil metagenome. RNAcentral describes it as "partial contains 5.8S ribosomal RNA, internal transcribed spacer 2, and large subunit ribosomal RNA". The stretch from base 1 to 120 matches the Rfam family "5.8S ribosomal RNA", at positions 35 to 154 of the family's 154-position model. The record is from RNAcentral.